UUUCAAGCUACUAAGGGCAAACAGUGGAUGCCUUGGCGAUAGGUGUCGAUGAAGGACGCGGCAAGCUGCGAUAAGCUGCGGGGAGCUGCAAACAAGCUUUGAUCCGCAGAUUUCCGAAUGGGGGAACCCCCUCCGGUAAAACCGGGGGACUCCCCGCUGAAUUCAUAGGCGGGGUAGAGGCAACCCAGGGAAGUGAACCAUCUCAGUACCUGGAGGAAAAGAAAACAAUCGCGAUUUCCGGAGUAGUGGCGAGCGAAAUGGAAACAGCCCAAACCGUUCGUAGCGAUACGGGCGGGGUUGUAGGACCGCAUUUAGCACCGCGAAGGUUAGUUGAACGACUUGGAAAAGUCGGCCAAAGAGGGUGAUAGCCCCGUAAGCGAAAACCGGAGUGGGCGAGCGGUAUCCUGAGUACCACGGGACACGUGGAACCCUGUGGGAAUCCGCCAGGACCAUCUGGCAAGGCUAAAUACAACCUAUCGACCGAUAGUGAACCAGUACCGUGAGGGAAAGGUGAAAAGAACCCCUGCGAGGGGAGUGAAAAAGUACCUGAAACUGUUUGCUUACAAGCAGUGGGAGGGCGUCUCGAGGACCUCUUCGGAGUUUCUCGGGGCCUGACCGCGUGCCUUUUGCAUAAUGAGUCGGCUAGUUAUUCUCAGCAGCAAGGUUAAUCCGUUCCGGAGGAGCCGCAGCGAAAGCAAGUCUGAAUAGGGCGAUUAGUUGCUGGGUAUAGACGCGAAGCGGGAUGAUCUAUCCUUGGCCAGGGUGAAAGUAGGGUAACACCUACUGGAGGCCCGAACCAGUGUUGGUUGAAAACAGCUUGGAUGAGCUGAGGAUAGGGGUGAAAGGCUAAUCAAAUUCCGUGAUUGCCCGUUCUCCUCGAAAUAGCUUUAGGGCUAGCCUCAUGUGAAUCGUUGUGGUGGUAGAGACCUGAAUGGACUAAGGGAGUUACCGCUCUACUGAAUCCAAUCAAACUUCGAAUGCCACAAACGAAUGCAUGGGAGUCAGACAGUGGGGGCUAAGCUUCAUUGUCGAGAGGGAAAGAGCCCAGACUACCAGCUAAGGUCCCAAAAUCGUUGCUAAGUGGGAAAGGAAGUGGAGGCGCCGAGACAGCCAGGAGGUUGGCUUAGAAGCAGCCAUCCUUUAAAGAAAGCGUAAUAGCUCACUGGUCAAGCGGCUCUGUGCCGACAAUUCAACGGGGCUCAAGCAACGUACCGAAGCUGUAGAUUGUCCGCCCUCGGGCGGGCACUGGUAGAGGAGCAUUCCCAAUAGUUUGAAGCCGGAGCGCAAGCACCGGUCGACGGUUGGGAAGAGACCCUGCCGACAUAAGUAGCGAUAACGGGGGUGGGAACCCCCCGCGCCGUAAGUCUAAGGUUUCCUGAGAAAGGUUAAUCCGCUCAGGGUUAGUCGAUCCCUAAGCUGAGGUCGAAAGGCGUAAGCGAUGGGAGAGCCGUUAAUAUUCGGCUACUACCUUGUUGACGUUAUCACGAUGGGGUAACGCAGAGUGCAAGAUGGGUCAGCGAUUGGUCGUGCUGAUGAACAUGGAUCCAUGGCGGCAGGAAAAUCCACCGCAAUCACAUGGUGAAGUGCGACGACGCCGUAAGGCUCCAAAGUCAUUAAGUGCCCUGCCAAGAAAAACCUCUAAGGAGUUGAUAAGGUACUCGUACCGCAAACCGACACAGGUAGACGGUCACUAAUGUGAUCAGGCGCUUGAGAGAACACUCGUUCAGGAACUCGGCAAAUUAGCUCCGUAACUUCGGAAGAAGGAGUGCCUCGAGCAAUCGGGGCCGCAGUGAAUAGUGCCAGGCGACUGUUUAACAAAAACACAGGUCUCUGCAAAGUCGAAAACGACGUAUAGGGGCUGACGCCUGCCCGGUGCUGGAAGGUUAAAGGGAGAGGUCAACCUGCGCAAGCGGGUGAAGCUUUGAACUGAAGCCCCAGUGAACGGCGGCCGUAACUAUAACGGUCCUAAGGUAGCGAAAUUCCUUGUCGGGUAAGUUCCGACCUGCACGAAUGGCGUAACGAUCUGGCAACUGUCUUAACGAGUGGCUCAGCGAACUUGUAGCACCGGUGAAGAUGCCGGUUUCCCGCAUCUAGACGGAAAGACCCCGUGCACCUUUACUAUACCUUGGCAAUGGACUAUGGUGCGGUCUGCGCAGAAUAGGUGGGAGGCUUUGAGACUGGGUUCUCGGACUCAGUGGAGCCGUCGUUGAGAUACCACCCUGAUUGUUCUGUGGUUCUAACCUACUCCACUCGACGUGGAGAGGGACACUGCCAGGCGGGUAGUUUGACUGGGGCGGUCGCCUCCUAAACGGUAACGGAGGCGCUCAAAGGUUAGCUCAGGGUGUUUGGAAAUCACCCCUCGAGUGUAAGGGCAUAUGCUAGCCUGACUGCGAGACCUACAAGUCGAGCAGAGACGAAAGUCGGACCUAGUGAUCCGGUGGUCCCGUAUGGAAGGGCCAUCGCUCAACGGAUAAAAGGUACGCCGGGGAUAACAGGCUGAUCUUGGCCAAGAGUUCAUAUCGACGCCAAGGUUUGGCACCUCGAUGUCGGCUCAUCGCAUCCUGGAGCUGUAGAAGGUUCCAAGGGUUAGGCUGUUCGCCUAUUAAAGCGGUACGUGAGCUGGGUUCAGAACGUCGCGAGACAGUUCGGUCCCUAUCUGAUGUGGGCGUAGGAGAUUUGAGGGGAUCUGUCCUUAGUACGAGAGGACCGGGAUGGACGAACCUCUUGUGUUCCAGCUGUCACGCCCGUGGCAUGGCUGGGUAGCGAAGUUCGGCCGUGAUAAACGCUGAAUGCAUAUAAGCGUGAAGCACCCCCCGAGAUCAGAUCUCCCAAUCCACCUCGGUGGAUAUGAAGGUCACCAAGAGACGAUUGGUUUGAUAGGUUGGAUGUGUAAGUCCAGUGAUGGACUUAGCUGACCAAUACUAAUUGACCGUUCGGCUUGAAUCU
This 2946-nucleotide ribosomal RNA is filed under the name Terriglobia bacterium. RNAcentral's name for it is "23S ribosomal RNA". It matches the Rfam family "Bacterial large subunit ribosomal RNA". The record is from RNAcentral. Lineage: Bacteria; Pseudomonadati; Acidobacteriota; Terriglobia.